GGGUCAGUAGGUUGGUCGUGCCACCGGUACGUACUGGUCUCACUGAUUCCUCCUUCCUGAAGAACCGUAAUGCCAUUAAUUUGGUGUUGCGGGGAAACAGGACUGUUACUUUGAAAAAAUUAGAGUGUUUAAAGCAAGCUAACGCUUGAAUACAUUAGCAUGGAAUAAUGAAAUAGGACGAUCGAUCCGAUUUUGUUGGUUUCUAGGAUUGACGUAAUGAUUAAUAGGGAUCGAUGGG
RNAcentral lists this ribosomal RNA (238 nucleotides) under Glomeromycotina sp. RNAcentral describes it as "partial small subunit ribosomal RNA". The stretch from base 40 to 238 matches the Rfam family "Eukaryotic small subunit ribosomal RNA", at positions 686 to 886 of the family's 1831-position model. Lineage: Eukaryota; Fungi; Glomeromycota. The record is from RNAcentral.